UUGUGGGCUGAGCCUGGAGAAGGGAAAGUUGGUGUUUCUCCUCCCACCCUUCAGCGGGGCUGGGGCGUUAUUUCUGGCAGGGCGCGGGCUCCGUUCGCAAGGGCUGAGUGGGAACCCAAGUUGGAUUACAUAGAUUUCCACUUCAUUUACUACUCAAAUCAACAAUCCUGAGAGAUGGAAGAAGAAGCUGGAGUCCUAAUGGAUCAGCCUGAAUCUGCUCCAGAAAACAUAGAAGUGACUGAAGCUAAGAAAAAAGGACCACGCGGUCGGGGAAGAGGCCGAGGUGGCAGAGGAUACUCUAUAGGGAAAAUGCGAGAGAUCUGCUUGUAACAAAAUAGAAGCUUUCAGGACACACUCCUGUGACUGCUAGAUGUUGCCCAGGUUGCCAGAGGAUAGGUUGGAGUCCAAAUCUGAUGUUAGAAAAGUGUCCCAAGGUUGGAGCUGUGUUGUCAGAGCUGGUGUACAGUGAGGGGUAGAAAGACUGAGACUCUGCUGGGAUACCGGGAAUUAUAGGAGUAGCUCAGGCCCCCCUCCUGAGCAGGGGCAAAAGACAUUGAUGGCUAAAAUUGGUUGUCUUUGCCUUUUCAAGGCAGGAGAAGAGCGAAGGCAAUCCUUGCCUUUGUGCUUCUCCCACACUCAACUGGAUGCCCAUAAUCCUCUGAGUUUGGAGGGUUACAGGAAGCCACAUUGGAUGGCACCCUUAAUGUCUUCCUAAUUGGCAAAGUUUUAAUAUGCACAGUUGCAAUUAAAAUGCAUGCUUGCCCUAGUUUUGCAGACUUCAAAAGGAGAGAAAUGUGGGUCUGUGUUCCUAUUGAAAUAGUGCAGUUCUUUGUGCAUUAGAAUUCUAAGUUUAAAAAAAAUCACAAGGUCAACAUGUCAAUAGAGAUGUGAUGGCUUCAGGGGUGCUUUCUAUGUUUUCUCUCCUUUUGUUGUUUUGGAUGGUGUGUUACAAUGAUAUUUGAAUAUAAAUGGGCAAAAACUCAUUUUCUGUAAUACAAUUUAUGCUUGAAAUUGUUGACUUCUCACAGUGCAUGAAUAUUGUACAUAAAUAUUGAGGAGAUACAAGGUUACUGAAGGAGCAAUUUGUACAAGUAUCUAUGGGUAAAUUCUGCAAAUGAUUGGCUGUUGCAACUAAUUCACUGUUAUUAUUUUCACAAGCUGAACAUUUUUAUUAGCUAGCAGUGUGUCUAUCUGUUCUAAAUCUUUCACCUUAAUACUCUUGCACAGCUUAGUAGAAUUUGAUUAAUUAGAUACCUAUUGUGCCUCUAUAUAGAAAAAGUUCUAGCUGCUUUGCCUCUCUGUUAAGCUCUGCUGAGAUGUUCAUAGCCUUUAGAUACUGAAUUGGUAGAUUGUUUUUUGUAGACGUGGAAUGGGAAGAAUGCGCCCAUAUCCAGAUGCAAGAGGUCAAAGAGGAGUACGAGGGGGACCGUUUUUUCCACCAUUUCCACCCGUAAGAGGAAUGAUGAGAAUGCCUUUUCUGCCUCCACCACCACGGUUAGUAUUGAGGAUGUCAGUGCAGAUAUAUUUAAAGGGCCGUGGUGUCGGUUGGUUCACCCCACUGUGGCUCUUACUCAGAAGGUUUCUGUCUUGUUCAAAGUUUGUGUUUGACAGGGGCUAGAGAGAGUUAGGAAUGUUUGUUCCCCAAGAACAGUGCCCAAAAUAGGUAAAGUCACAGUUUGCCUAAGUGUGUAAACCAUUUGAGUAAUUUGACAAAUGCAGCUACUGUGAGAAGCAUGAUCUCUCUCUUCCUUCUCUCUUGCUUAUUUAAAAAAAUAUUUGGGAAAAUUUUAAACAGACCAUGUAUGGAAGUUUUUGCACACAACAUUGUAAAGAGAUAGAAUGUCACAGGAUCUGUGAUGGGAGAUUUUCCACUGGGGAGGCCACAUUGCAAUUAGUGUCUUUUGAAAUCUUAAGCAGGCAAAACAGCCCUGAGCUGGGUGUGAUUCACUGUCAGGAAUGCCAUCUCAGAAAGUUUGGGUGUAGUAAAUUUUACCUCAGGACAGUCCUGAUCAGAUUUAAAAACUUUGAAGUACAGGCCACAUUUGUAUGUUAUGCCAAACCAUAAUUCAGCACAGCACAUUCAAGCUUCAGAUUUUUCACAUUCCACCCCUUUCCUCUUCUCCACCUAGGUGACCCGGAGUGCUUAACAGCAGAAUGCUUUAGCACAUCCAUUGCUUAAACUUUUUCAUUUUAUUCAGUGAUACUGGACAUACUUUAGGGAAUGCACCCCUAGGUAUCAAAUAGUGGGGGAAUAUGCUUCUGAUUCUUAUGUCCAAAGCCAGUAAUGUAACUCAGACUUUGGAGCUGAGAAUUCACUGUCAAAUCUGCUUCUUCCCCCACAUUCCCAGCGGGUAAGGAAAGAACCAAGCUGGCUGCCUCGUCAAAGAUGAGAGUUCAACCUCAGGGAGGAUGGGAAGCUGCUUAGGCCAGGAAUAACGUAUCUUGUGUCCUUUGCAGCCUCCUUCUUUCCUCUUCCAAAGCUGGACAGAUGAAAACAGCCAUCUAGCAAAAAUAAAGAGCAGCAGAGAGGCAAAUAUACCUUCUGCUGCCACCCCUCUUUGCACAGGAUGUUUGCAGGCCUCCAGCUUGGAGUCUUAUGAUCCUCAAGGGGAGAAUCCAAUGGGCUGUGCCCUUAAACAGUGUCCUGCAAUCUGAGCGCAUUUCCAUUUAGGGAAAUGCUUUCCCCAAAUUUGCAUUUACUGAAUUGUGUAAUUCCAGAAAUUGUGUGAGAUUAGCUGCAGUGAUUAGUAUAUUGUUCUAUAUAUUCAAAAUGUAUCCACAGCACAAUGGGAUUUCUACACCCAGUUAUAAAUGGCAGAAAAUUCUCUCUGAAGCAGGACCUAGUGAUGACAAGAGUUACAUCUGUCUGUGCAGAUAUGGGGUUCCUCUCCCUCCUCUUUCUCCACCACCACCUGGUUUAAUGGGCUUCAGGGGCAGGCCUCCUCCCCCCAGAGCUAGAGGAAUGCUUCCAUGGCCACGAGGCCAGUUUCCACCUCCAAGAGGGUAAGGACGUUUCUUUCCAUUUUUCCUUUUUAAGAACAUUUUAUUUCCCACAUUAAUGAUAUUUACAGAAAAUUCAUUAAAACUUGAGGAAGUUAAAUUAAAAGCCAUCAUACAGACUAAAAAAAAACACAGAUCUUAAUCCUAGCAUAAUGUUUUUCUCACCUUGGAAGCCUUUAAAAUAUGCAUGGUGAAAGCAUAUUCCAAAUAGUUAUGUGUUAUAUUUUAAGUGUGUUAUUUUAAAAAUACCUUGUGAGAAGGAGGGAAAAAUGCAAUUAUUAUUUUUAUCCUUUUAUACAGCUUUCUCAAUGGACCUGGUGCACCAGCCCCUCCGCCACCUGGACGGGGCCAGAGAUGGCCUGGGCCGCCAGGUGGCAGACACUAUUAAAGAGGCUUAUUCUUUAAAUUGAGUAACAGGGAUGCUUGCUUCUUACCUUAAGACCAUUUGAAAUGGCUAGACUAAGAACUGCCUGUAAAGCAUUAAAGAUGGCAAAGAAAAUUAAUAGAACUCUGACAUACAUAUUUUUCCAACAGCCCUUAUGCACCAAGUUGGUAAAAGCCAUAUAUUUUUAAAUGUACCCUAAAGACCUGUGACUCCUUGGACAGUUUGAAGCAGAGUCAUUUUCAAAGUCUGGAAUUUGUAGACACUUGGCAUCUGCACAAGUUAAAAAUCAGCUCCUAACAAUAGGUCAAGCUUUUAAUUUAAUAUUCACACCAUAUAUAUUUAACAUGUGUGCAGCAUUAUUAGUCUAGUUCUCAAUCUGCUUUAGUACCUUGUAUUUCAUAUACUCUAUAUCUUGUGAACUCUUGUUUCAAUUGCACAUAACAUUUGGUGACAGUAAAUACUGAAAAUGAAACAUCUUGCUGCAAGGCAACUAUUCUGUCUGAUGUCUGGAAAUGUAACCAAUGCAUAAAAUGUAAUGGAUAAAAUGAGCUGAGAGUGUUAAUUUAAAAAGAAAAGAGAAUUUGUUAAUUUAAAAAGAAAAGAGUUUUUAUAAAUGAGCGAAAGUUUAUGGCGCCUGUUUUAAUGUUUAGUAAUCCUUCAUACACAGCUUGACCUUCAUGUUUACAUUUCUAGUCCUAUACAUAAAUGUAAUAGCUGAACAUUUUACCAAUUGUAUAAUUGCAGCUGGUGAUAUUAUCUGCAACUUAAGAUUAAUGGAUAUGUUAAAAUCUACAGUGUACAUACUGUUGUAAUUAUAGAUGGCUGUACAUUGCAUCAUUUUAGAUUUCAUUUUGUUCUGUGGCACUGGAAAAACUUACAAAAAGUGGAGCAUGCAGGUACUAUGUUACUGAAAUGACAGAUAAAACUGUAAAGUUUUGAAGCAGUGCUGUUUAAUGUCAAGGAUGAUCACAGUCUGUAAAUUACUUAAUUUCUUAAUACAUUCUGCAUUCAUUUGUGCUGAGGGCUGAAUUAAAAGUUUGGGGUUGUUGUUUUUUUACCAGUCUGGUGCAAUUGGGACUUUUUAACUUGAGCAUUCGCUACAUUGGGUCCAAAGUAAAAUAAAAUGAAAAGGAUAAAUGGAGGUAUGAAAGCCCAUAUACAUAUGUUCAUUCUACCCUUAUAUUUGGCUUCCAGUUAUUUGAUAGGUGAACAAGAUACUAACUUGAGCCUUGGUUUAAAAAAAAAGAUAGGACUUGGGUUGGUACUUGUUCAGAUUUUCACCACCCUUAAUUCCAAAAGCUAAUGUUUAACCUUUGCAUUGUGAGCUUGUAAAGUGAAAAUUUUCUGCUGUGUAUAAUAUGGGUAUCAGAAUAGACUUAUUCAGUACUAAAACCUAGUUAAAUCCUUAUUAAAGCAAUGUUUUGUUUAUAAUUUUGAGUUCCUAGAGAAGUCCCCUUGAAAUCAAUGAGAUCUUAUUCAGUCAUUACCCAUUUAAAUCUUGUUAAGUUCAGUCGUUCUGCUCUAAUGUAAGCAUGACUAUUAUGACCAAGCCUGUGUUAGCUUAAAGCAUAGUAUUAAAUGGUAACUUAAAAAAACACAAAAAAUGAAAUAAAUUGAUUAAUAGUUCUCAUGAUGCCCAAUGGUAAAAGAAUGAUGCUGUUAUUAUCUUCUGAAGGGUAACAUAGUCACCCUUUGAGGCCAGUGAGAGAUGACAUGCAGACCUUUGGGAGAGCUUUCAUCAAGGCCUUAUUGAAGGUGAGAGAGUAUUUAAAACAUUCUCCUCCCCCUGCUUACUUUCUUUUUCCUUAGGCAAAGCGGACAUUCAUCUGACUUCUAUUCAUGUUUGAAAUGCACAUGCGCGCACAUAGCACAGUCUUGAUAUUGUUCUGCUCAAGGGAUUGGUUCAGGGUUUGCAGAUGCCUCAUGAUGGAUCCCAGUUGUCUGCCUGGAUUCACGACAAGUUCAGUUCCAGGAACUGGGCGGUCAAGUACACUGGUAGUGGGUGAACCAGGCAUGUGUCUAGCAUAUUCAUAAGGCUGGGUUUUAGUCAGAUCUCUACCAUGCAGUUAUAGCCAGAAAUAACCUCACAGAAUGGUGUGUCUGUGUGAAGCAGAAGUAGCUGUAUCUGGGUGCAGUGCAUGCUAAAUCACAGUACAGUGCUCCUAUGGCGAGUAUUCCCCCCCGCCCCCCCGUUAGCUUUAUUUGGAUCCGUGUUUCCUCAUUGAACAGUGCAUAAAGCCUAUUCAGAUAUUAAACCUGAACAGGGUACAUUAGUACAUUACGCAGAGUAUGAGGCCUGGCACACAGGCCCUUCCCACACCAACUUAGGUCCAGCCUUACUGUGCUGGAGGACAAGGCCUAAAAAGGAGUUCUAUUCCUGUGGCUGGGGACCUGCCUUUAUCCAGCAUUGUCUUGGCUGUGCUGGGUGAGGCUGCAGUGGAAGAAAGGAACCAGGGAAGCUUGCUGUGCAAGUUCUGCUUGCUCUUCUGUGGAUCAAAAGCACUGUAUUUUUUUAAACAUCUGAUGCCUCCAGCCAUUGGUCAGUCUGGCCCAGUAUUCUGUUCUGAUUCACAGCAGUUUUCCAAAGUCUCAGCAGAGACAGCUGUUCUUCGGCCCUGCUGUCUAAGACCCCUUUUUCCUGGGCUGUCAGACAUUGAACCUGAUGCCCAUGAUGCAAAGACCACAGAACUGCGGCCUAUCCCCAGAUAAAAUGAACAAUGGCAGCAGGUGUCUCUUGAGUGUUCUUUGGCUGCUCUCAAAAGUGCAAGAAGAAAAAGAUUAUUAUGUCAGUUCUCCUACACUCUUGUACCAGUUGCUGAAGAAAUAGUACCAGAGCAGUGAAGGACUGCUGGCUGUCUUGGCAUUAACCAAUAAAUUAAUACCAUGCUAUAUAUUUAAUAGCAAGAUAUUGCAUAUUGCUAUAAGGAAAACUAACCCAAGAGAAAAAACUAAUGCAAACACAUUUGAACUGUAAUACGGCAAUUAACUUAAUUUUUUCUUUCACUGUAAUCUAGAGGACGGUACUGUGUGAAAUUUAAAAUAAAGUAGCAAGUUACCCAAACUUUUUAUCUGAUUUUUCUUUAAUUUUUAAAGCUAAAUAUGUACAAAUGUUCAUAAGGAAUUAGCAUUCAUUGCUUGCUCUAGCAUAUUAAGCUUGCUGCAGCCAUCUCAUAUAUAUAUAUAUAUACACACACACGCGCGCGCGCGCAAGUAAACGGUUUUGACAGACACCUGCAUUCCUUAUUCAGCCCCUUUUAUCAGCCUGUUCGCCUUUUUUUCCUUUUCAGUGCUAUGGUUGCGGAAGUGCUUUUCAUAGCUUUUAUUUUGCAUUGCUUUAGGGAAGAGCCAGAUUGACAGGAACGUUAGCCAAAUUCGAGACAACUUAGAGUGGUGUCUACCUCUGGUUCCAUUUCAUUGUUUUGAGUUCUGCAUUUCAUGUGAUGCAGUAGGGUUGCUUUUCAGCCAAAUGAGCUUGUAUGACCCCUCUUUUUAUGGUUACCCUUUUUGCAUUGAAUCUUACCAAGUUAAGAACUUCAGAGUGUAUAUAAAAGAGCAAUAAAUAAAAUAUAAUGGUGCUCCAGUGCAAACUGGAAGAAUGAAAAUACGAUCUUUAUAUUGGUGACAUUAUUGAUACAUAUUUUAAGAAGGCCUGUCCCUGUCAUGAACCCCUGCUUGGCACAACUUCCACUCUGAGGCCCUCAAGGAAACUGUUCCUUAGUAAGUGGCGGCCAAAGACAGGCCACAGAUGGGAACAAAAUGCUGCCUGAAUAAUCUUAAAAGUGUAUGUUAGAUCCAGUAGAAAUAAGGUCCCAGUGAGAAGAACUUAAGUUGUUACUAAAUUUAGCUAACUUGGUUUGGCUUUAACCCUGUACUAUUUCUGUUCCUGAUACCCCAUUGGAGUAUGAUUGUAUUGUGGGAGUCAGCUAUGCUGAGUCUCUUUCAAUAUAAACACAAUAAAGAAUGUGUUUUCAUGUUCUCCUUUAAAAAUUUAAGAUACCUCAGUACUUGUCAUAGCGUGUCACUUUAUUAAAUUUUUUUGGACUUGCCUUUCUGUCAAGGUUAGCGUUCAACAAAAUAAGACACCAAAGGCAAAAUUGCUCACAAAUGCAAAAUGGAAACACGUAAGCUGUGUCCAGAGUUGAGGAUGCUGGGCAAGAAUGACCAAGGGUCUGGCUUAGAAUAAGACAACUCCCUUUCCUAGAAUAAGAAAUCCAGCAGGUUAUAACAUAGCAAAACAGGAAGUAAAGUAUUGGCCAAAGAGAUCAUUUUGAUGGCUUUGGCUCUCUCUGCCAAGCCACUCUGGUAAAUGAGAUCCAAAACCUAGUUCUAGGGUAUUUGUUCAUAGCUGGGUUAUAAACUUCUCCUUUAGUCAUUCAGAGUAAUUAUUCUUCAUACCAACAUGUAUUUUGGAUAGUUUCUGUAUAAAUGUGAUCAUGCAGAUAAUGGUUUGUUCUGGUAUAAAUUAUCAUUCCCACGUGUUCUGUCACUUCCAAACUUGAGCAAUGGUUACAGGAGUUUUACUCUAGUAUGUAACUUACAUAGGGAUCUUCAUUUGGUGAUAUAUAUUUGGAGGCUGCUCUGUUUUGUGCUGUGGCACAAAAGUUCAAGUUUGCACAGAACCAGAACACUAAGCAUAGAUUGUUGUUGAAUUGUAUCAUUCAACAUUGUCAUUAUGUGUAAACCCUGCAUUAUGGGUUAACUCUUAAUUAUGAACAACCCAGGAAUAUGCCCCAUGUAUUCUUGUUUGGUUAUGAACGCUGGAUUGUCUGUGAUUAGUUAAAUCCAUAGUGCAGGGUCCACACUCAACAAUCCACACUCAGGUUUUCAUUAAAUGUGAACCAGGCCUAAGUCUGCACUUGCUUGUCCCCCAGAGGAAAUGCUGUUAUCACUACUGCACGAUUUAAAAUAUAAAGGCUUAAAUACAAUACUACAUUCUUUGAGGAAGUGGAAACUGUUUUAUUACAGCAUGUGAAAGUUAAGGUGGCUACUUCUGAGAUAAGGUACAAAUGUCACUGCAAAGUUUUGGAAAAUGGGCCCCUAUUCUCCCAUCUGUUACAUGCAAAUAUAUGCCACAAUAGGUAAGGAGGUAAUACUAUACCUACAUGUGAAUAAGCCCCUCUGAACUCUAGAGUGCUUACUUUUAAGUAAACACACAGUCUUGCAGUGUCAUUUUAUUUCCAGAUACUAGAAGAGAAAUCAAGGGUUGAAGUGAAAGACUGCUUUCUCAUCAUGGUGGUCUAUAAUGGAGACUGGCAGUUCCCCUUUUAUAUGACAGUUGUGGUCCAAUUUAUGUGUAGUAGCAGGGUAUGCUAAGGUAUAAAAUGGGUGAUGUAUUUCUGUCUCCAUUACGAUCGGGAGAUUCUAAUUGCUUUGCCAGAGUAGACAUCAUUUUCAAGGCUGCUAGUCUAAUGCACCUGGAUAUCAACAAAGCAGAGUGUGGCGAUGCCUUGCCUCCCCAUUUGUCCCAGUGUGCCGCGAGAGAUGCAGGCCUCUGCUGUCAGGCUGAACACAUAUUGAUAGUCUUCUGUCUUUAAUGGGGAUGCACAGAUGCUACUUCAGUAGGGUCUCUACAGAGAAACUUUCUCAUGGACUGUGCUACCUUUUUCAUAACUUUGCAAACACUAUUUUCAGGAAGACAAAGCUUGAGAGAAAUACAGUAGUUCCAUAAAGUAGUCCAAUCUUGAAUCGGGGAGGAAGAAAUGACUUGUCUGGUGUAAUAAAUGUCAUUCCAGGGUAACAUCAUUUUAAUAAAGAAAAAAGCUUUGUAGCAAUAAAUGAGAAAUUAAUAAAGCAA
This is an RNA transcript of Varanus komodoensis (Komodo dragon), 9179 nucleotides long. It is a transcript of the gene named splicing factor 3B subunit 4-like, with no coding region annotated. NCBI's taxonomy places the organism in Eukaryota, Metazoa, Chordata, Lepidosauria, Squamata, Varanidae. The transcript is spliced from 5 exons. The record is from RefSeq and is a predicted model, not a curated record.